GACGAACGCUGGCGGCGUGCCUAAUACAUGCAAGUCUAACGAUAGCGACCGGUGCUUGCACUGGUCAAUCUAGUGGCGCACGGGUGAGUAACACGUGGGUAACCUGCCCAUCAGAGGGGGAUAACAUUCGGAAACGGAUGCUAAAACCGCAUAGGUCUUCGAACCGCAUGGUUUGAAGAGGAAAAGAGGCGCAAGCUUCUGCUGAUGUAUGGACCCGCGGUGCAUUAGCUAGUUGGUGCGGUAACGGCUCACCAAGGCCGUGAUGCAUAGCCGACCUGCGAGGGUGAUCGCGAACAUUAGGACUGAGGCACGGCCCAAACACCUACGGGAGGCAGCAGUAGAGAAUCUUCCGAAAUGGACGCAAGUCUGACGGAGCAACGACGCGUGAGUGAAGAAGGUUUUCGGAUCGUAAAACUCUGUGGUGAGAGAAGAACAAGUGCUAGAGUAACUGUUAGCGACUUGACGGUAUCUAACCAGAAAGCCACGGCUAACUACGUG
Molecule: ribosomal RNA, 498 nt
Filed under: uncultured bacterium
Lineage: Bacteria
Description: partial 16S ribosomal RNA
Rfam family: Bacterial small subunit ribosomal RNA
Source: RNAcentral